Tetranychus urticae (two-spotted spider mite) is the source of this 2942-nucleotide non-coding RNA. Lineage: Eukaryota; Metazoa; Arthropoda; Arachnida; Trombidiformes; Tetranychidae. The record is from RefSeq and is a predicted model, not a curated record.
UUGGUAAUGCGCAUUAAAAGUUGUUUUUCUUAUUCCAUGAUAAUUUACAUAGUAAUCUAAACAAUGAAUUUUAAGUUAUUUUGCUUAACCCUUUUUUUGUGAUUUUAAACAACCAUGACAAGAAUCAACAUUAACACAUCAUUAUCAUCUAAACAAUAAUUUAAAGCCACCAUCAUCAUCAAAAAUCUACUUUUGAAUUAUGUAUCAACAAACAAGCUGAUAAUAUCCUUAUUUUACUCCACUUUGAAUGUCCUUUUAUCCCUUUAUUUCUUUAUCUGUCUGACCUUUACAUUUUGGUUUUCUCUUGAUCAACUGAUCAACAUGAAUAUUUUGGCUGAUGCAUUUUAGGAAUCGGACGUUAGCAUCGUGACCUGAGAUUGAACACAUCAACAGCGAUUGUUAAAAGUGGCCAACGGAAAUCGUGUUUAAAAGAUUAUUAUUGGUUAAGGAAGAAAGCAAAAGAGAAACAAAAUAAGGUGAAAAGCAUCUUGCUUCAGGCCUAACAGGUAUCACCAUCAAUUUAGCAUCAAAGCUAAAGAUAAAGGAAUCUGGUGGAUGAUAAAAUGAAAAUAAAUACAUUUAUUUAUAUCUAAAAAAAGGGAUAAAAAUGAUUUUCAAGCGUUUACAGUUAAAGUAAACUUGGAAUCAAAUGGAUGGCAAUGCUGGUGAUCAAAAAUGAUGCCAAUUAUUGAAAAUGAUAUGAUUUGAGGGAAACAAUCAAUAACUUUAAACAAAUGGAUGGAUUGAUCAAUAUCAUCUCAACUCGGAUUGUAUUACAAAAUGAUGAUUGAUUAACAAGUUUGGCUUACAAUCAAUAACCAGUUGUAACCUUGAUGUCAUCAAAAGGGCUCAAAUCAAUCAAAGAGACUUUCAUUUGUGACUGGCUGCAAAGACUUGAUCAAAGAUUUGCUUUUGAAAUGUGAAUGAAAUCAGUUAAACAUUUCAAUCAAAAUUUGUAGCAUCAAUGGCUCAAAGACAAAUCAACCCUUUCAAAAUAAACAUGUCAAACAAUUUUGAAUAUAAAUUACAAUAUGUAUAAUUGAGUGUGGAUCAAUGAAGACAGCUAAAUGUUGACAAGGAUGGAUCUUACAAGCCUAAAACAAGUGUUUAGUAUAUGACAAGAGUUGCUGGUGAAAAUGCAAAUUGUAACAGUUUAUGGAUCAUCGAUAUUGGAGGUUAACAUUGAAAACCACACGAUUCGUUCUGAUUAAUUGUGAUCCCAAACACCCAAUAACGGACUACAAACAUGAUCAGAAAUGAUAGUAAACACACUCAACGUUAAACAAUCAAACCAAUUACAGCAGUUUUUUUUCAUCAUCUUAUGCAAGUAGCAUCUUUGGUCGGAAGCCAAAAUUAACCUUAACCAGACUUGAAGCCACAUACACUUGUUAACAUAAAGUGAUCAUCUCCAUCAUCAUUAUCAUCAUGAUGUGUUUAUUGAGAAGCUGUUACAAUUAUUGCUGAUUAUUCUUACAAUUAGUUGAAAUGUUAUUAUCAAUGUACUGAUUGCGUGUCUAAUAGGAAGCAAAGAAAAGUAAAUCAGUGUUGAUGAUCAGCACUCUUUUUUCCUGGAAUAUUUGGUAAUAUCUUUAAACACGCAAUAAUAACGCGACGAUAAAGCUGAAAAUGAUUGAGAUGAAACUUUAUUUAUACCAUUCAAUGUAAAUUACAAUGGACACCAACAAGCAAAGCUAUUGAUCAUUUUUCCAGUCAUUAUUAAUCAACUCAUUAAUCUCAAUUAGCGAAAGAACGUUAAACUAGCAAAGAGAUGUAAAUUAAAUCAACAGUUAUUUACAAUUUGGUGGGACCAAAACAUGGAUGGGCCAAAAGACUAAAGAUGAAAUUUAACCUUUUCAAAGCAAUGUUGAAAUGUAUUGAUGGUCAACAAUUGAUGUGAACCUGUCAACAAUUAACAAUAAUUGUCUACAAACAUAAUACAAGAUGAUGACAUAGAGAAGAGCCCAAACAAAUAUAAAGCUACUGCUGAUAACCAACGGAAAAUGUUCCAAUACAAUUAUAAUGAUGAUAACAAGACAAGACAAGUGAUAAUAAUAAUAACAAUAAUGAGUUAAAGUGAACGAGUAAAAAAAAUUUGAGGCCAACAGUUAUUAUUUAAGGUCAUUUCCCGUUGAUAAACAACAAGUUAACCAUCAAUAAGUUGGUCUAUUUUAUCCUUCAUUACCUACUUAUUAUGUAUCCGUUCAGUUUUUUGUUUUUUGCCAAUUUUAAAAGGUCAAUCUUGAGCUGUUCAUCCUCAUCAUUGCCAUCUUCAUACCGAUGAAUUUCACAAACAAGAAAAAAAAUGAACAUUCAAAUUCAGUUGAAAGAAGCUUCAAAACUCUUAAAGCAAAAAAGCAAAGAUUGAAAUACCAAACCAGGAUAAGGAUUUGAACAUUCAACCAUUUUCCUCAUCUUCAUCAUUUAGAUUUAUAAAGACAUUUUCAACCAUUAAUUUAUCACUUAACCCAUUCCUGAAUCAAGAUUACAAGAUUAAUUGAUUAAUUGGGUGAAAAAUAUUUGAACCCAAUUUGCAAAUCUCUUUGCUAUUGCUUUUUAGAUGGCAAAAAAUGUCAAUAAUCAAUCAGAUUAACUCAACUAAUUGCUAAUGUUGAUUAUUUCGAUGCUUUAAAGGUCAACAUUUCAUGAGCAAAAGAUUGAGCAAAUUUAUAUCAACAAAUCCCAAUGAGCAAAACGUUUUCACCUUUUAAAACUACUUGAAAAUUUGCAAUCAAAAGUUGAUCUCAAAUUGAACUAUUAUAAGAUUAAUUGAAGUGGAAAAUGAAAGUAAAUCACUUUAAUUGUAAUCAUCAUUAUUGUUAUAAUUUUAAUUUCUCAUCACUUUUCUUAGCAAUAAUAAACAACAAUUUAAAUGCGGAAAAAGGAAGCUCAAUGUUGGUCAGAAGUGACAAAAAUAACGAGUUAAUUGUGAUUGAAAUGGGAAA